RNAcentral lists this transfer RNA (72 nucleotides) under Marmota marmota marmota (Alpine marmot). It matches the Rfam family "tRNA". Rfam says of the family: Transfer RNA (tRNA) molecules are approximately 80 nucleotides in length. Their secondary structure includes four short double-helical elements and three loops (D, anti-codon, and T loops). Further hydrogen bonds mediate the characteristic L-shaped molecular structure. tRNAs have two regions of fundamental functional importance: the anti-codon, which is responsible for specific mRNA codon recognition, and the 3' end, to which the tRNAs corresponding amino acid is attached (by aminoacyl-tRNA synthetases). tRNAs cope with the degeneracy of the genetic code in two manners: having more than one tRNA (with a specific anti-codon) for a particular amino acid; and 'wobble' base-pairing, i.e. permitting non-standard base-pairing at the 3rd anti-codon position. Lineage: Eukaryota; Metazoa; Chordata; Mammalia; Rodentia; Sciuridae. The record is from Rfam by way of RNAcentral. RNAcentral also lists the same sequence under 1 other name.
GGUGAUGCAGCUCAGUGGGAGAGCACUUGCCCGGCAUGCACGAGGCCCUGGGUUAGAGUCCCAGCACCUCAG